This is a long non-coding RNA of Syzygium oleosum, 329 nucleotides long. RefSeq lists it as uncharacterized. The record is from RefSeq and is a predicted model, not a curated record. NCBI's taxonomy places the organism in Eukaryota, Viridiplantae, Streptophyta, Magnoliopsida, Myrtales, Myrtaceae. The transcript has 2 exons.
UCUCUCUUCUAGGUAUAUAUUCUCAAUAACUCUGCAAUGUGUUGAAGAAGCAUCAGAUGCCACUCCAUCUCUUUGCCCCUGUUUGUAAAAGAAUAUUUCAAAACCAACCACCAUCAGAAAAGGACAAGCUACCAUAUCAAGCGAAUGUGGCCAUUUCAACCGCACCAGUAAAUAGGUAAUAAAUCACAAAGAAGUGGCUGCAAGACCUUCCAUAUUCACCAAAAAAACGAGGGUCCUAAACAAAUUAAUUAAGUCGCUUGAGAAGUCAGCACCCCCAUCACUUAAAAGGCAAGUCUUCUCCCAAAUCUCUCUUGCUGUCUCUUUUUGGC